CUGGUCGGGGAGCCGAGGGCCAGAUGGAACAGAAAUUACAUUUGUCUCCCCUCUUUUCUAAUUCCUCCUCCUCCUCCUCCUCCUCCUCCUCCUGCUGCCGCUCAGAAAACCACCUGAUAAGUCACAGGACCCGGAAAUGUCAGGGAAAACCGAAAUGGGUCCGAGCUUCCUCCUUCUGGUGCGGGGCUCACUGCAGACUGAGCGGACCAUGUCGCUGCUGUUCAUCCACAGCUUGUUGUCAUCGAUGCUCAAGAUGCCCUCAUGCCAGGAGCCCACAUUUAUGUAGUCAUAGCGACCAUCACCUACACUCUGUAGGUUCAUGAUGUCGUACCUGGAUGGGCAGAGGGAGAGAGACGGAGGACCAUAAUGAGCGGAAACACCCUCCUCAUCUUCUUACCUUCCUGGGGUGUCUCCGUUUUCAUCAAAAUAAAUCUCCUCCCCUGACACUCCUCUGAAGGACGUCUUUAAGAGGUAGUCCAGAAGCUUGCUGCCAUCGAUGGGGUCCAUGGCCUCACAGAGCCCCGGCUGCCCGGGGCACAACUCCUUGUGCAUAUCAUGGAGGCCAUGAGCCAUGGCAUAGAUGGCAUUGAUGACGAAGCCCAUCUUACUAUCCUGAACAUAGUUUUCAUGCAGACUUUCAUUUCCUGUGAGAGAGGAAAAGAAGAGGGCAUCAAACGGUUUGUCUGGUGUUUUGUGUUGUAUUCAAGGAGCAGUUACA
Molecule: long non-coding RNA, 718 nt
Organism: Xiphias gladius (swordfish)
Lineage: Eukaryota; Metazoa; Chordata; Actinopteri; Istiophoriformes; Xiphiidae
Exons: 3
Source: RefSeq, a predicted model, not a curated record